Callithrix jacchus (white-tufted-ear marmoset) is the source of this 791-nucleotide non-coding RNA. NCBI's taxonomy places the organism in Eukaryota, Metazoa, Chordata, Mammalia, Primates, Cebidae. The record is from RefSeq and is a predicted model, not a curated record.
UUGGUAAGAACCAAGACUCCUUGGAGGAUGCGGAAUCCACGUAUUGGACCCAGAAAAAUUAUGCCUCGCUGGAGUGAGUGAUAAAUAACCCCCUCUGGGCAGAGGCAUUUUUACUCUCGGAGUCCUCAGGAUCUAACGGUCAACUGCAAUACCACGUUGUGCCAGUAGAUGACGACACCAUCCAAUAUGUGAGGACUCCUCACCGGAAAUCCCUUUAAUUUCAGGGUCUCACCCAGCCUGGAGUGCAAUAGCGUGAUCUCAGCUCACUGCAGCCUCGACCUUCUGGACUCAAGCAAUCUUCACACCUCAGCCUCCCAAAUAGCCAAGACUACAGACAUGGGCGAACACUCCUGGCUAAUUUUGUGCAUAUUUUUGUACAGUCAAAGUCUCACUAUGUUGCCCAGGAUUGUAACUCCAGAAGCUAGUUUAGCCUUUGAAACAUACAUACAUGGUGAUCAAAAGCUUACUGAAUGCGGAAGUCAGUGAAUGGAUGAAUAAAUGGCAUAGUUAUCUAAGGAAAGUAUAUACUGUCAUUUUUUUCAUUAAUCUCCUGAGUACUUUUCUUAUUAAACUUCUUUCUUUUGUGUCAGACUUUUUUGCUCUCAAUGUUCUUUUGUUUUUACAGUUUUUAAGUUUUUCCCACUGUCUGGAAUCUAAUUGUCAGUUUUUCCAAAGACCUCACCAACCUGAUUUUGUUCUACCUAUCCAAACCUAACUUGUACUAUUCCCCCAAAUGGUACAAAUGUUUCUGUUCUCUGUGAGGCCAAUCUCUAGAGUCCCAUACAAAAACA